GGGGGGAGGGGGGGAAGCGACACCCUCACACCGCUGCCACAUGGUGGGAGUUACGGGAGGGAGACGGGCUGUGUGAGGCGUGUGAUGGUCUUCGUAUCGCAAACAUUAGUCUCUAAGACAUAACAGGAAUGCUUUUGCGUAGAGAAAUGGCAAUGUUUCAUGUGGAAAGCGUUCCCUACAGCACGCUGUGGACAACUGUAUAUCCACCUCACAGCUUUUGAGGCUUCAUUCAUCUCUUCCCUGUGUCAUGCCUGUGGUCAUAAAAUGGACCAUACAUCCUUGGGUAAGGGAGAUACUGAUCCUUAACUUUGGCUGAACUAUACCUACUAUCUUGCUGAGUUUGUUCCAUCUUAAUAAUUGCAUGUGUGUAUAUGUAAUACAGAUGGUUAUGUGUGUUUUUCAUUUUGUGCUUGUCCAGUUUGUCAUUUUUUGACUUGCUUAGGAGUGCUGAGUAUGUGUGGUCAUGAUGUCAGAAAUAACUAAAGCUUGCCAGUGUGUUAGCUGAGAAGAUAGCAUCCCCAAGCAUUGACAUACAAUGAAUCACCUCUAUGAGAAUAGUGGUCAUUACUUAGGUUAGCAGCUUAAGCUUUAUUGUAA
RNAcentral lists this long non-coding RNA (597 nucleotides) under Gallus gallus (chicken). Its description in RNAcentral is "long non-coding RNA NONGGAT004259". Lineage: Eukaryota; Metazoa; Chordata; Aves; Galliformes; Phasianidae. The record is from RNAcentral.